RNAcentral lists this ribosomal RNA (867 nucleotides) under uncultured candidate division WS6 bacterium. Its description in RNAcentral is "bacterial SSU rRNA". It matches the Rfam family "Bacterial small subunit ribosomal RNA", at positions 49 to 885 of the family's 1533-position model. The record is from RNAcentral.
UAAGGUAUGCAAGUCGAACGAACUCGCUACGCUNAUAGUCGCUUGCGACUAUAAGUUAGCGUGUGAGUGGCAAACGGGUGAGUAACACGUGGAUAACCUGCCUUAAAGUCAUGAACAGCUCAUCGAAAGAUGGGAUAAUACAUGAUAGUCUUACAAUUUCUAUCCGACUUUGUAAGUAAAGCUCCGGCGCUUUAAGAGGGGUCCGCGUCCUAUCAGCUUGUUGGUGAGGUAAUAGCUCACCAAGGCUAAGACGGGUAGCUGGCGUGAGAGCGCGGUCAGCCACCAUGGAACUGAGACACGGUCCAUACUCCUACGGGAGGCAGCAAUUAGGAAUCUUGCGCAAUGGGGGCAACCCUGACGCAGCGACACAGCGUGGAGGAUGACGGUCUUCGGAUUGUAAACUCCUUUUAUGUGGGAAGAAUAGAUGACGGUACCAUAUGAAUAAGCACCUGCUAACUACGUGCCAGAAGCAUCGGUGAUACGUAGGGUGCGAACGUUAUCCGGAUUUAUUGGGCGUAUAGAGAUGCGUAGGCGUUUCUGUAAGUCUAAAGUUAAAGCCCACGGCUCAACCGUGGAAAAGCUUUGGAAACUGCAGAAAUUGAGACAGGAAGAGGCGAAUGGAAUUCCCAGUGGAGCGGUGAAAUGCGUUGAUAUUGGGAGGAACAUCAGUGGCGAAGGCGAUUCGCUGGUCCUUGUCUGACGCUGAGGCUCGAAAGCGUGGGUAGCAAAACGGAUUAGAUACCCGUGUAGUCCACGCCGUAAACUAUGGAUGCUAGGUGUUCGGUACAACUCUUUUUUCCUUCGGGAAAGAAUGGAAGUAUUGAGUGCCGCAGCUAACGCGUUAAGCAUCCCGCCUGGGAAGUACGG